UAAACGCUGGCGGCGUGCUUAACACAUGCAAGUCGAACGAGAAAGUUUUAGCUUGCUAAAACGAGUAAAGUGGCGCACGGGUGAGUAACGCGUGGGUAAUUUACCCUUGAAUCUGGAAUAACGUUGCGAAAGCGACGCUAAUACCGGAUGACAUAUAUUUUUCUACGGAAUUAGAUAUUAAAGAGAGCCUCUACAUGUAAGCUUUCGUUUGAGGAUAAGCCCGCGUACCAUUAGCUUGUUGGUAGGGUAAUGGCCUACCAAGGCGACGAUGGUUAGCUGGUCUGAGAGGAUGAUCAGCCACACUGGAACUGACACACGGUCCAGACUCCUACGGGAGGCAGCAGUGAGGAAUUUUGCGCAAUGGGGGAAACCCUGACGCAGCAACGCCGCGUGAGUGAUGAAGGCCUUAGGGUCGUAAAGCUCUGUCAAGUGGGAAGAACAAGCUUAUUGUUAAUAGCAUUAGGCCCUGACGGUACCACUGGAGGAAGCACCGGCAAACUCC
This 502-nucleotide ribosomal RNA is filed under the name uncultured bacterium. Its description in RNAcentral is "bacterial SSU rRNA". It matches the Rfam family "Bacterial small subunit ribosomal RNA", at positions 30 to 504 of the family's 1533-position model. The record is from RNAcentral.